GAGGGUAUAGCUCAGUGGUAGAGCACACGCCUAGCAUGCCUGAUGUUCUAGGUUCAAUCCCCAGUACCUCCU
Molecule: transfer RNA, 72 nt
Organism: Camelus ferus (Wild Bactrian camel)
Lineage: Eukaryota; Metazoa; Chordata; Mammalia; Artiodactyla; Camelidae
Rfam family: tRNA
About the family: Transfer RNA (tRNA) molecules are approximately 80 nucleotides in length. Their secondary structure includes four short double-helical elements and three loops (D, anti-codon, and T loops). Further hydrogen bonds mediate the characteristic L-shaped molecular structure. tRNAs have two regions of fundamental functional importance: the anti-codon, which is responsible for specific mRNA codon recognition, and the 3' end, to which the tRNAs corresponding amino acid is attached (by aminoacyl-tRNA synthetases). tRNAs cope with the degeneracy of the genetic code in two manners: having more than one tRNA (with a specific anti-codon) for a particular amino acid; and 'wobble' base-pairing, i.e. permitting non-standard base-pairing at the 3rd anti-codon position.
Source: Rfam